AACGCGAAGAACCUUACCUGGAUUUGACAUCCUCUGACAACCCUAGAGAUAGGGCUUUGGUAGCAAUACCACAGAGAGACAGGUGCUGCAUGGCUGUCGUCAGCUCGUGUGGUGACAUGUUGGGUUAAGUCCCGCAACGAGCGCAACCCUUGUCUUUAGUUGCCAGCAUUAAGUUGGGCUCUCUAAAGAGACUGCCGUGGUUAACACGGAGGAAGGUGGGGAUGACGUCAAGUCCUCAUGGCCUUUAUAUCCAGGGCGACACACGUGAUACAAUGGAUGGUACAGAGGGACGCGAAACGGCAACGUGGAGCUAAUCUCAAAAAGCCAUUCUCAGUUCGGAUUGGAGUCUGCAACUCGACUCCAUGAAGUUGGAAUCGCUAGUAAUCGCGGAUCAGCACGCCGCGGUGAAUACGUUCCCGGGCCUUGUACACACCGAGACGUA
This 442-nucleotide ribosomal RNA is filed under the name uncultured bacterium. Its description in RNAcentral is "bacterial SSU rRNA". It matches the Rfam family "Bacterial small subunit ribosomal RNA", at positions 958 to 1398 of the family's 1533-position model. The record is from RNAcentral.